Ribosomal RNA from Piliocolobus tephrosceles (Ugandan red Colobus), 124 nucleotides. The record is from Ensembl. NCBI's taxonomy places the organism in Eukaryota, Metazoa, Chordata, Mammalia, Primates, Cercopithecidae.
GUCUACAGUCAUACCACCCUCAACGUGCCCGGUCUCGGAAGCUAAGCAGGGUCGAGCCUGGUUAGUACUUGGAUGGGAAGAAAGACAAAAGUUUUUAAAGGAAAAAAAUUAGGUGCAUUACAUC